CUACGGGGGGCAGCAGUGAGGAAUAUUGCACAAUGGGGGAAACCCUGAUGCAGCAACGCCGCGUGGAGGAUGACGCAUUUCGGUGUGUAAACUCCUUUUAUGAGUCAAGAAAAUGACGGUAGCUCAUGAAUAAGCACCGGCUAACUCCGUGCCAGCAGCCGCGGUAAUACGGAGGGUGCAAGCGUUACUCGGAAUCACUGGGCGGAAAGGACGCGUAGGCGGGAUGUCAAGUCAGGUGUGAAAUCCUAUGGCUCAACCAUAGAACUGCACUUGAAACUGGCAACCUAGAGUAUGGGAGGGGGAGAUGGAAUUAGUGGUGUAGGGGUAAAAUCCGUAGAUAUCACUAGGAAUACCGAAAGCGAAGGCGAUCUCCUGGAACAUUACUGACGCUAAGGCGUGAAAGCGUGGGGAGCAAACAGGAUUAGAUACCCCAGUAGUC
This 439-nucleotide ribosomal RNA is filed under the name uncultured bacterium. Its description in RNAcentral is "partial 16S ribosomal RNA". It matches the Rfam family "Bacterial small subunit ribosomal RNA", at positions 339 to 795 of the family's 1533-position model. The record is from RNAcentral.